CCUACGGGUGGCAGCAGUGGGGAAUAUUGGACAAUGGGGGCAACCCUGAUCCAGCCAUGCCGCGUGUGUGAAGAAGGCCCUCGGGUUGUAAAGCACUUUCAGUGAGGAAGAACGCCUGGUGGUUAAUACCCAUCAGGAAAGACAUCACUCACAGAAGAAGCACCGGCUAACUCCGUGCCAGCAGCCGCGGUAAUACGGAGGGUGCGAGCGUUAAUCGGAAUUACUGGGCGUAAAGCGCGCGUAGGUGGCUUGAUAAGCCGGUUGUGAAAGCCCCGGGCUCAACCUGGGAACGGCAUCCGGAACUGUCGAGCUAGAGUGCAGAAGAGGAAGGUAGAAUUCCCGGUGUAGCGGGGAAUUGCGUAGAGAUCGGGAGGAAAACCGGUGGCGAAGGCGGCCUUCUGGACUGACCCUGCCACGGAGGUGCGAAAGCGUGGGUAGCAAACAGGAUUAGAUACCCGUGUAGUC
This 465-nucleotide ribosomal RNA is filed under the name Vreelandella stevensii. RNAcentral describes it as "partial 16S ribosomal RNA". It matches the Rfam family "Bacterial small subunit ribosomal RNA", at positions 338 to 795 of the family's 1533-position model. The record is from RNAcentral. Lineage: Bacteria; Pseudomonadati; Pseudomonadota; Gammaproteobacteria; Oceanospirillales; Halomonadaceae.